GGUGAGGUGGCCGAGUGGUUAAGGCGCUGUGUUCAGGUCGCAGUGGAGUUUCCGCAUGGGUUCGAAUCCCAUCCUCAUCA
Dendryphion nanum is the source of this 80-nucleotide non-coding RNA. The record is from the annotation of a GenBank genome assembly. NCBI's taxonomy places the organism in Eukaryota, Fungi, Ascomycota, Dothideomycetes, Pleosporales, Torulaceae.